CGCGCUUCCCGGGCUGCAGCAAGCGUCGCCCGGCAGGCAGGGGACCUCAGGAACAGAAGCUCUGUCUGAGACCAGGGCCCUUUCCUAUGGUGUGACUUCAGGCGGGUUCUUCCAGCUCGCGGUCCCUUGGGAUGGAGCUGCAGCCCGCAGGAUCCAGCCAGCGGGAACUGGGGCUGCCUCGUGCCCUUGACUUUCCUGGUGAUGGAUGAGCUCAGGUCCCCACACGUUCGCCUGGGCCUCCCUUCUUCCCCAUAUGUCCCCCAAAUGCAGGGGUUGGGGACACAGCCAUGAGCAGAACACCCAGCCCUACCCUGAGGAGCUGAAAUUCCAGUGGAAGAGCCAGUGUUGGAAAAGUCCCUGGCACACCAUGGCUAUUGGAUUUAAUAUUUAUGAGUAUCAUCAGAGAACACAAACAUGGCUCUACCAACUGCCAAGUAAUCCCGGCCUGAGGAAUUGGCCCCAAGGAGCUCAUCCUUGAAGGACGAGGCCACAGGUAGAAAGCAGUGUUUUCAAUGCAGAGUUCUUCACACGGUGAAAACCUGGAUCAAAUACCCCUCUGUGGAGAGCUGAUCUAGUGAAGAACGGUUCCUCAUUUGAAGGAAUAUUAUGAGGCAUUCAAAAUCAUAAUUACAAAGCAAAGUACAUAACCACAUACAAUGUUUAUGGGGUACAAUUGCACACACGCAGUGUUUGCAGGUGAGGAAAACUGUGUGUGGGGACAAGGACUGUGCAUGUGUGUGCAUGCGUGUGUGUGCACGCAUGUGUGUGCAUGUGUGUGCACAGGGGCUGGGAAAGGCAAGCAGAGAGAGAAGAGCAGCUGGUAUACUUGGGCAGCAGGGUUGAAUCCGCCACUAGUCACGGGCUCGCACACGGGCACAGCCGCGGCAGAUGGACCUGGCCUGGCUCUGUCGUGACAGCUGUGGCUCUUCAGCCACACACUGUGUGACCCCUCUCCUCCUGGUAACAUCGGUUCCUUAUUACCCUGGACACUGUCUUCUCUGGAGCAUGUGGCAUCAUGCUUCGCCCUCUCCAAAUGCAGCUGCUGCCUCGGGCCUUUUCAUCCUGGGUGCAGAAGUGUGACGAUGCAAAGUGGUGCCUGUCACUUUUUGCUCCCUAUGUGGGGGCUGCUGAGGGUUUUCAUCAGGCACUUUCUGCUUCCCGGACUCCCGAGCUGCCUGGCCCCUGCCUGUCUCCUCACCUGGCUCUCCGGACAGCCCUCCGGGUCUGAGCUGCCCAGGAUGCCUCCUGCUGAUGCUACAUAGCCACACCCUGCUGCCUGCAAUCAAAGAGCCACAGGGGCACAGAGCCUGGCACCGGGAGUCAGAUGCCAGGCCCACAGCCAGGAGUGGACUCCACCAAGGCAGCCUGGAGGAGGUUAGGGGAGGCUGGCCGGCUGGGGGAAGGGGAAUCCUGGUGGCCCUGCGGAACUCUGGGAUUAGGAAUGUGAGUUCUGACAGUGCGGAGUGUAUGAAAGCAUCAGGUGUGGCUGUACCUGCCUCUGUGGGAUGCUGCCACGCUGAGGCCGGCUUCGCUGGCCUGGCCCCUGUGGAAGCAGAAAUGUGGGAAAAAUAUCAAAUAGCCAAGAGAAACCUUUUUUGCCUGAAGCCUG
Molecule: long non-coding RNA, 1609 nt
Filed under: Homo sapiens (human)
Lineage: Eukaryota; Metazoa; Chordata; Mammalia; Primates; Hominidae
Description: HSALNT0279113
Source: RNAcentral